Molecule: ribosomal RNA, 1557 nt
Filed under: Klebsiella pneumoniae
Lineage: Bacteria; Pseudomonadati; Pseudomonadota; Gammaproteobacteria; Enterobacterales; Enterobacteriaceae
Description: bacterial LSU rRNA
Rfam family: Bacterial large subunit ribosomal RNA
Source: RNAcentral
UGCUGGAGGUAUCAGAAGUGCGAAUGCUGACAUAAGUAACGAUAAAGCGGGUGAAAAGCCCGCUCGCCGGAAGACCAAGGGUUCCUGUCCAACGUUAAUCGGGGCAGGGUGAGUCGACCCCUAAGGCGAGGCCGAAAGGCGUAGUCGAUGGGAAACAGGUUAAUAUUCCUGUACUUGGUGUUACUGCGAAGGGGGGACGGAGAAGGCUAUGUUAGCCGGGCGACGGUUGUCCCGGUUUAAGCAUGUAGGCUGGUUGUCCAGGCAAAUCCGGAUAAUCAAGGCUGAGGUGUGAUGACGAGGCACUACGGUGCUGAAGUAACAAAUGCCCUGCUUCCAGGAAAAGCCUCUAAGCAUCAGGUAACAUUAAAUCGUACCCCAAACCGACACAGGUGGUCAGGUAGAGAAUACCAAGGCGCUUGAGAGAACUCGGGUGAAGGAACUAGGCAAAAUGGUGCCGUAACUUCGGGAGAAGGCACGCUGGUGUGUAGGUGAAGUCCCUGCGGAUGGAGCUGAGACCAGUCGAAGAUACCAGCUGGCUGCAACUGUUUAUUAAAAACACAGCACUGUGCAAACACGAAAGUGGACGUAUACGGUGUGACGCCUGCCCGGUGCCGGAAGGUUAAUUGAUGGGGUUAUCCGUAAGGAGAAGCUCUUGAUCGAAGCCCCGGUAAACGGCGGCCGUAACUAUAACGGUCCUAAGGUAGCGAAAUUCCUUGUCGGGUAAGUUCCGACCUGCACGAAUGGCGUAAUGAUGGCCAGGCUGUCUCCACCCGAGACUCAGUGAAAUUGAACUCGCUGUGAAGAUGCAGUGUACCCGCGGCAAGACGGAAAGACCCCGUGAACCUUUACUAUAGCUUGACACUGAACAUUGAGCCUUGAUGUGUAGGAUAGGUGGGAGGCUUUGAAGCGUGGACGCCAGUCUGCGUGGAGCCAACCUUGAAAUACCACCCUUUAAUGUUUGAUGUUCUAACGUUGGCCCCUUACCGGGGUUGCGGACAGUGUCUGGUGGGUAGUUUGACUGGGGCGGUCUCCUCCCAAAGCGUAACGGAGGAGCACGAAGGUUAGCUAAUCCUGGUCGGACAUCAGGAGGUUAGUGCAAUGGCAUAAGCUAGCUUGACUGCGAGCGUGACGGCGCGAGCAGGUGCGAAAGCAGGUCAUAGUGAUCCGGUGGUUCUGAAUGGAAGGGCCAUCGCUCAACGGAUAAAAGGUACUCCGGGGAUAACAGGCUGAUACCGCCCAAGAGUUCAUAUCGACGGCGGUGUUUGGCACCUCGAUGUCGGCUCAUCACAUCCUGGGGCUGAAGUAGGUCCCAAGGGUAUGGCUGUUCGCCAUUUAAAGUGGUACGCGAGCUGGGUUUAGAACGUCGUGAGACAGUUCGGUCCCUAUCUGCCGUGGGCGCUGGAGAAUUGAGGGGGGCUGCUCCUAGUACGAGAGGACCGGAGUGGACGCAUCACUGGUGUUCGGGUUGUCAUGCCAAUGGCACUGCCCGGUAGCUAAAUGCGGAAGAGAUAAGUGCUGAAAGCAUCUAAGCACGAAACUUGCCCCGAGAUGAGUUCU